RNAcentral lists this ribosomal RNA (253 nucleotides) under uncultured bacterium. RNAcentral's name for it is "partial 16S ribosomal RNA". It matches the Rfam family "Bacterial small subunit ribosomal RNA", at positions 524 to 776 of the family's 1533-position model. The record is from RNAcentral.
UACGUAGGGUGCAAGCGUUGUCCGGAAUUAUUGGGCGUAAAGAGCUCGUAGGCGGUUUGUCGCGUCUGCUGUGAAAACUCGGGGCUUAACUCCGGGCCUGCAGUGGGUACGGGCAGACUAGAGUGCGGUAGGGGAGACUGGAAUUCCUGGUGUAGCGGUGAAAUGCGCAGAUAUCGGGAGGAACACCGGUGGCGAAGGCGGCGAUCUGGGUCGAUACUGACGCUGAGGUGCGAAAGCGUGGGGAGCAAACAGG